GUAACUUUUAAUUAUUUAGUAAAUAUUAAUUAACCCCAGUCCCACUUUUUACAGUGUAGGUUUCAUGUAAAACGUAUGUUGAGAAAACACAAUGAGAUUGCAGAUCUGCAUUAUUAAAGCUGUUUAUUAAAACACACAGAUGAGUAAAUAUAGAGGUGAAGCAAUAUAAAGAUAAUAGUUUGCAGUGGAUAAAAACAAUUAAGAAACUACAUGAUAUGGAUAUUCUUAGUAAGUUUGUAGAUGAAAAAACCUUAAGCAACAUAUAAUAUUCAAUAAGGAAAAGAUAAGAGAGUAUAAAACUUGAGUAAUACAACAACCAAAUCUAUAUCCCUCUAUGGUAACAGAUUUUUAAUCAGAAUGACUGAACCAUAGACAAAUUUUAUUUAACCUCUGGAAAGGAUUUAGUUGGCCUCUCUGCAGAGUCUGGAUGCUCCUCCGGUCUCACUUUUGGGAGCACUCUCUCUGGAGUUCCUCAGCUGGUGUUUUCACUUCUUCUUUCAUACAGAUGGGCCUAGCAGUUAAUAGAAUUAUUCUAAGCUAUGCUAAGCUUGGGGAACUGAGGACGGCUUCCACAGAGUAAAAACAGAGAUACUAGAAAUGAAUAGAAAUAAUCAAACAUGCAUAUACUAGAAAGGAGAUUAAAAGCAUUCAAAUCAUAAGCUCUGAAGAUUUGGCCCAAAUAUUUAGUUGCCAGCUAAGAAUCCUACUCUAACUAUCACAUCUAAAUUUUAAAGACUACGUUUUUUCCAUUCUUCAGAACUGAACUCCUACCGUAACUACCUAAAAACUGAGCUCUGUCUCACAAAGAAUGUCCUGGAAUAUUGAACAUAUAAA
Molecule: long non-coding RNA, 834 nt
Filed under: Astyanax mexicanus (Mexican tetra)
Lineage: Eukaryota; Metazoa; Chordata; Actinopteri; Characiformes; Acestrorhamphidae
Description: lncRNA (ENSAMXG00005001579.1)
Source: RNAcentral